This 105-nucleotide non-coding RNA is filed under the name uncultured Negativibacillus sp. RNAcentral's name for it is "THF riboswitch". It matches the Rfam family "THF (Tetrahydrofolate) riboswitch aptamer". Rfam says of the family: THF riboswitch presents a pseudoknot that joins P1-P2 and the loop of P3 and two THF binding. Lineage: Bacteria; Bacillati; Bacillota. The record is from RNAcentral.
GCAGAGUAGAAAUGCAGGCGUUAAGUGUUCGGCAAACGGGGAGUUGUUGCUGGAACGAAAAACCUCGAAAGGCGGGGUUUGCGGUCUGUAUUUCGCAUCCCGCUG